AAAAAAGAAGAAAAAAGUAAUGUAUCGGGAAGAGGGGAUCUCCUUGCAAACUAGCAAGCAACAUGUACAAGAAAACCAAACCAAUUGGGGUCGUCCUUUUAGCCAAUCCUUUUCAUACCCACUACUUCUUCCAAAUGGAACCCCUUUGCCAAAAAAAACUGGGGCAACAUUGUGGGUUUCACCACGCAUCUUUGCCCUGAAAUUCAUCAACCCGUAACCUCAAGACUGGGGCAGCUUUGCAAAUCUCAUUUGAAAUUUUCACCCUAAUUGUCAUGGAUCCAAAUCUCAGCUCAUUUUCCCAAAUGCUAAACCGGGG
RNAcentral lists this long non-coding RNA (316 nucleotides) under Vigna radiata. RNAcentral's name for it is "long non-coding RNA (VRAD_LNC012120)". The record is from RNAcentral. Lineage: Eukaryota; Viridiplantae; Streptophyta; Magnoliopsida; Fabales; Fabaceae.